CAAGAAAGCAUUGUGCAUGUGCUGAUAG
RNAcentral lists this small RNA (28 nucleotides) under Bombyx mori (domestic silkworm). RNAcentral's name for it is "ovarian small RNA-12824". The record is from RNAcentral. Lineage: Eukaryota; Metazoa; Arthropoda; Insecta; Lepidoptera; Bombycidae.